GUACUGGCAUUGUUGGUUUCUCCCUUCUGCCGAACCAUGAUGUCAUUUAUUUGGUGUUGUGGGGAAUCAGGACUGUUACUUUGAAAAAAUUAGAGUCGUUUAAGGCAGGCUCACGCUUGAAUACAUUAGCAUGGAAUAAUGAAAUAGGACGUUUGAUUCUAUUUUGUUGGUUUCUAGGAUCGACGUAAUGAUUAAUAGGGAUAGUUGGGGGCAUUAGUAUUCAAUUGUCAGAGGUGAAAUUCUUGGAUUUAUUGAAGACUAACUACUGCGAAAGCAUUUGCCAAGGAUGUUUUCAUUAAUCAAGAACGAAAGUUAGGGGAUCGAAGACGAUCAGAUACCGUCGUAGUCUUAACCAUAAACUAUGCCGACUAGGGAUCGGAUGAUGUUAAUUUUUUAAUGACUCAUUCGGCGCCUUACG
Molecule: ribosomal RNA, 418 nt
Filed under: uncultured Glomeromycotina
Lineage: Eukaryota; Fungi; Glomeromycota
Description: SSU rRNA
Rfam family: Eukaryotic small subunit ribosomal RNA
Source: RNAcentral